GGGGCCGUAGUUCAGACGGUGUAGAACGCUGGCCUGUCACGUCAGAGGUCGCGGGUUCAAGUCCCGUCGGCCCCGCCA
RNAcentral lists this transfer RNA (78 nucleotides) under Syntrophobacter sp. DG_60. RNAcentral describes it as "tRNA-Asp". It matches the Rfam family "tRNA". From Rfam's summary of the family: Transfer RNA (tRNA) molecules are approximately 80 nucleotides in length. Their secondary structure includes four short double-helical elements and three loops (D, anti-codon, and T loops). RNAcentral also lists the same sequence under 1 other name. The record is from RNAcentral. Lineage: Bacteria; Pseudomonadati; Thermodesulfobacteriota; Syntrophobacteria; Syntrophobacterales; Syntrophobacteraceae.